UCUUUAUGGCGGAACCUUGAGGAAGUGAGCCCUGGGCUGGGGCCUGAGUGUGAGCAUGGGCAGUGGGAACAGCGGCCAUAAAGAAAGGCCUUGGCACAGAGGAAAAUGGGCAGGUCUCCCCAGACGUACUACGGUUCCAAGUGGCUUCCUAGAUGCAGGUCUUAGGACAAGGGUGUCUCCAGAGCUUGGAAACUGGCCUUGACCCUGUUUCCAGCCCAGCCCUUGAGAAUCAGCCUCUUCCCCUCCGCGUCCAGCCCGCCACCCACAGCUUGUGUGGCAACGUGCACAGAAACAUUCAUGUCUCCAGCUCUCGGAUCCUCCCGGCGACGACUUCCUCAAACCGGUUACUUAAUGAACGUCAUCCAAUUCCGAUUCUGUCUUGCCAUAGCCUCAUUUGCGAAAGCCAAUCUGCUUUAUGAUUUUAACCUCUGGCUAGAAACUGCUCCCAAUUUCAUGUCAUCCAUAAACUUGAUGAACGA
Molecule: long non-coding RNA, 479 nt
Organism: Rattus rattus (black rat)
Lineage: Eukaryota; Metazoa; Chordata; Mammalia; Rodentia; Muridae
Exons: 2
Source: RefSeq, a predicted model, not a curated record